UACGAGGGGUGCAAGCGUUAUUCGGAUUUACUGGGCGUAAAGGGUGUGUAGACGGUUUACUAAGUCUGUUGUUAAAUACUCUGGCUUAACUGGAGAUCACAGUGGAAACUAGUAGACUAGAGGGUGGAAGAGAGAAGUGGAAUUCCCGGAGUAGCGGUAAAAUGCGUAGAUCUCGGGAGGAACACCGAUGGCGAAGGCAGCUUCUUGGUCCAUACCUGACGUUGAGGCACGAAAGCGUGGGGAGCAAACAGG
RNAcentral lists this ribosomal RNA (252 nucleotides) under uncultured bacterium. RNAcentral's name for it is "partial 16S ribosomal RNA". It matches the Rfam family "Bacterial small subunit ribosomal RNA", at positions 524 to 776 of the family's 1533-position model. The record is from RNAcentral.